This is a long non-coding RNA of Chelonia mydas (Green sea turtle), 912 nucleotides long. RefSeq lists it as uncharacterized. The transcript has 6 exons. NCBI's taxonomy places the organism in Eukaryota, Metazoa, Chordata, Testudines, Cheloniidae. The record is from RefSeq and is a predicted model, not a curated record.
CAAACAGAGGCUAGGGACACCAUUCCUUACCCAUUCUGGCUAACAGCCAUUAAUGGACUUAACCUCCAUGAAGUUAUCCAGUUCUCUUUUACCUAGUUUCCUAUAUUUUAGUUUAAAUCCACUGCUGCUUCCGCCCCCCACUAACAGUCUCCAACAUCCAGUCUACUGCAACCGCUUACCAUGCUCGCCUCUCAACUAUCAAUAAUUCUACUCCAUUCCAUUUCUCUCUAGGCUUCUAGACAGUUUUAUAAUUUUUAUUGUUUCCUAAAAGGCAUAACAAGAAACUGGUUGGCACUCCUGGCACUGAGCUCUGAAGAUUCCAGAGAGUUAUGUCUGUUAGGACCAAUUGCCACCAUCCUCACAUUCUUGUGGAGGAUUCCAUGGAUAUAAAAGUGUCCUCUGCAUAUUCCCAUUUGUGAGAGAUUAAUGAACAGUACAACCUCCAGAAGGUGAUCUGAAGAGUUCUAGGUGAACAAAGACCCCAAAACUGCCAAAAUGAGUAACAGUUCUGGAUGACAGUUCAAGAAGUUGGGUAAGAAGAAUUGUUUAUGACAUCAACAAAACCCCGUGACUCAAGUGACCAUAACCUGCUAGUCAAGGGAACCAUAUUGGAGAGAUUCCUUUCUUGAGUGCUGGUUCUCAGGGCUAUUCACUGUGACUUCCAAGCAGUGCUUGUUGAAGAGGAGGGUGAAAGUAAAUAUGCUGUACUACAGAGUGGAGGACCACUAAGCCCAAAGGAGGCAUCCCCAGCCAAAGCCUGAACCAGACAGUAAUGCGUGGUGAAGGGAGCUGAGAGACAAGCCCAACAUCUUCAUUGAGAGAAGAUACUCCAGCAUGAGGAGGGUUCCUGAUGCCUUAGGAGCUGCAAAUGGUUUCAUCGCUCCAUGUAUCAUCUCUGUCCCAGAGGCUAUC